GUUUCUGUAGUGUAGUGGUCAUCACGUUCGCCUCACACGCGAAAGGUCCCUGGUUCGAAACCAGGCAGAAACA
Molecule: transfer RNA, 73 nt
Filed under: Podarcis lilfordi (Lilford's wall lizard)
Lineage: Eukaryota; Metazoa; Chordata; Lepidosauria; Squamata; Lacertidae
Also listed under: 2 other names
Rfam family: tRNA
About the family: Transfer RNA (tRNA) molecules are approximately 80 nucleotides in length.
Source: Rfam by way of RNAcentral